Molecule: ribosomal RNA, 497 nt
Filed under: uncultured bacterium
Lineage: Bacteria
Description: partial 16S ribosomal RNA
Rfam family: Bacterial small subunit ribosomal RNA
Source: RNAcentral
GAUGAACGCUGGCGGCGUGCCUAAUACAUGCAAGUCGAGCGAACAGACGAGGAGCUUGCUCCUCUGACGUUAGCGGCGGACGGGUGAGUAACACGUGGAUAACCUACCUAUAAGACUGGGAUAACUUCGGGAAACCGGAGCUAAUACCGGAUAAUAUAUUGAACCGCAUGGUUCAAUAGUGAAAGACGGUUUUGCUGUCACUUAUAGAUGGAUCCGCGCCGCAUUAGCUAGUUGGUAAGGUAACGGCUUACCAAGGCAACGAUGCGUAGCCGACAUGAGAGGGUUAUCGGCCACACUGGAACGGAGACACGGUCCAGACUCCUACGGGAGGCAGCAGUAGGGAAUCUUCCGCAAUGGGCGAAAGCCUGACGGAGCAACGCCGCGUGAGUGAUGAAGGUCUUCGGAUCGUAAAACUCUGUUAUUAGGGAAGAACAAAUGUGUAAGUAACUAUGCACGUCUUGACGGUACCUAAUCAGAAAGCCACGGCUAACUACGUG